GGGCAGCAGCUGAGGGGGAAUGAUCAGUCCUGACUGUGGUCAGUACUGUUCAAUAGCCUUGAGGACCAGGGCAGGACAAAGGUAAAAGACCCAGAAGCCCCCAGCACGGGCAUGCUUCUCUGCUUCCUGCCCACCACCAGGAAAUGGUGUGAUCCGCACAACACGGGGAAGAAGGGAAUAAUGGGAAACAACUCGUCCCAAUGAAGACAGGGCUAGUAGAACAGAAACCUAGCCAAACCAGGCAAGACGGAUAGAAAACAAAGAGCAAGGCAGCGGCAGACCGAAACGGAAAGGGGAUAAACGCCUGAUGUAGUAAUUGUGGAAUCUUCACGAUGGGAUCCUGGCUGGUGUAUGUAAGGAAGGCAGUCAGACCUACUGCUGGGGAACAAUUAGGAAACGGGUCCUCUGCUUGUCCAGCAUGUGUUAGCGCAUCGUCGCACCUCGGCUCAGCUGCGGUGGGGGCACGAGACAAAAUGCAGCCGAGGGAGGGGGCCCUCAGUCUGGUGAGCAGCAUUAAUCUGCUCUGGCAACCAGUGUGGGUACAGAACUGUAGAACCGAAAGACUUCUGCUUACCACCUAUGAAGUU
This is a long non-coding RNA of Arvicola amphibius (Eurasian water vole), 587 nucleotides long. RefSeq lists it as uncharacterized. Lineage: Eukaryota; Metazoa; Chordata; Mammalia; Rodentia; Cricetidae. The record is from RefSeq and is a predicted model, not a curated record. The transcript has 3 exons.